ACCACUGAUCUAAGGGAACCACUGUAAAUGAUCUGUUCUUAUCAGUUUAAUAUCUGAUACGUCCUUUAUAAAAGGACUUCAUAUUACACAUGUUUGUGGAACAGUGUUGAAAGUGAAGCUUGAUCUCUUUGCUCCACGUAUUGAUCUCAUAUGUACUGUAGUGCUGCCAGGACCUGUGCACUCUUC
Small nuclear RNA from Nematolebias whitei (Rio pearlfish), 186 nucleotides. RefSeq annotates it as U2 spliceosomal RNA. The transcript has a single exon. The record is from RefSeq and is a predicted model, not a curated record. Lineage: Eukaryota; Metazoa; Chordata; Actinopteri; Cyprinodontiformes; Rivulidae.